Molecule: ribosomal RNA, 253 nt
Filed under: uncultured bacterium
Lineage: Bacteria
Description: partial 16S ribosomal RNA
Rfam family: Bacterial small subunit ribosomal RNA
Source: RNAcentral
UACGGGGGGGGCAAGCGUUGUUCGGAAUUACUGGGCGUAAAGGGCUCGUAGGCGGCCAACUAAGUCGGAUGUGAAAUCCCCAGGCUCAACUUGGGAACUGCGUCCGAUACUGGUAGGCUUGAAUUCGGGAGAGGGAUGCGGAAUUCCAGGUGUAGCGGUGAAAUGCGUAGAUAUCUGGAGGAACACCGGUGGCGAAGGCGGCAUCCUGGACCGACAUUGACGCUGAGGCGCGAAAGCCAGGGGAGCAAACGGG